UAGGGAAUCUUCCGCAAUGGGCGAAAGCCUGACGGAGCAACGCCGCGUGAGUGAUGAAGGUCUUCGGAUCGUAAAACUCUGUUAUUAGGGAAGAACAAAUGUGUAAGUAACUAUGCACGUCUUGACGGUACCUAAUCAGAAAGCCACGGCUAACUACGUGCCAGCAGCCGCGGUAAUACGUAGGUGGCAAGCGUUAUCCGGAAUUAUUGGGCGUAAAGCGCGCGUAGGCGGUUUUUUAAGUCUGAUGUGAAAGCCCACGGCUCAACCGUGGAGGGUCAUUGGAACCUGGAAAACUUGAGUGCAGAAGAGGAAAGUGGAAUUCCAUGUGUGGCGGUGAAAUGCGCAGAGAUAUGAAGGAACACCAGUGGCGAAGACGACUAUCUGGUCUGUAACUGACGCAGAUGUGCGAAAGCGAGGGAUUGAAACAGG
RNAcentral lists this ribosomal RNA (429 nucleotides) under Actinomycetes bacterium. RNAcentral describes it as "Actinobacteria bacterium partial 16S ribosomal RNA". It matches the Rfam family "Bacterial small subunit ribosomal RNA", at positions 355 to 776 of the family's 1533-position model. The record is from RNAcentral. Lineage: Bacteria; Bacillati; Actinomycetota; Actinomycetes.